RNAcentral lists this long non-coding RNA (329 nucleotides) under Anas platyrhynchos platyrhynchos (common mallard). RNAcentral's name for it is "lncRNA (ENSAPLG00000022753.1)". The record is from RNAcentral. Lineage: Eukaryota; Metazoa; Chordata; Aves; Anseriformes; Anatidae.
AUUAAAGGUAUGUUCUGUUAUACCUACAGUGGUUCCACUAAGAAUAUACCAGACACUGUUCAACCAAAUGAUGAGCAAACCACUAAAGGUUAAUAAGAAAUGAUGUUAGAAGUUUCUCUUUCUUUUUUUUUUUUUUUUUUGGACUGAAUUAUGUAAGCUAAACUGCUGUGGAGACAAUGCCCAUCUUCUCGACAGUGUGUACGUCCUGUUCGUGAGGACACAGCUCAGCAAAAUGCUGUGUCGAAAUGGAGCAGCAAGAAUAAAUGUACUCCAGCUCUUCAGCUGCUGAGACUCCCAGGCAGGACAAGAAGCUGUGUCUUACAGAAAAU